Molecule: ribosomal RNA, 434 nt
Filed under: uncultured Lachnospiraceae bacterium
Lineage: Bacteria; Bacillati; Bacillota; Clostridia; Lachnospirales; Lachnospiraceae
Description: partial 16S ribosomal RNA
Rfam family: Bacterial small subunit ribosomal RNA
Source: RNAcentral
ACGGGAGGCAGCAGUGGGGGAUAUUGCACAAUGGGGGAAACCCUGAUGCAGCGACGCCGCGUGAGUGAUGAAGUAUUUCGGUAUGUAAAGCUCUAUCAGCAGGAUAGAUAAUGACGGUACCUGACUAAGAAGCACCGGCUAAAUACGUGCCAGCAGCCGCGGUAAUACGUAUGGUGCAAGCGUUAUCCGGAUUUACUGGGCGUAAAGGGAGUGCAGACGGCAUGGCAAGCCAGAUGUGAAAGGCAGGGGCUCAACUCCUGGACUGCAUUUGGAACUGUCAAGCUAGAGUAUCGGAGAGGUAAGUGGAAUUCCUAGUGUAGCGGUGAAAUGCGUAGAUAUUAGGAGGAACACCAGUGGCGAAGGCGGCUUACUGGACGAUAACUGACGUUGAGGCUCGAAAGCGUGGGGAGCAAACAGGAUUAGAUACCCUGGUA